This 72-nucleotide transfer RNA is filed under the name Tupaia belangeri chinensis (Chinese tree shrew). RNAcentral describes it as "Tupaia chinensis (Chinese tree shrew) tRNA". It matches the Rfam family "tRNA". Rfam says of the family: Transfer RNA (tRNA) molecules are approximately 80 nucleotides in length. Their secondary structure includes four short double-helical elements and three loops (D, anti-codon, and T loops). The record is from Rfam by way of RNAcentral. Lineage: Eukaryota; Metazoa; Chordata; Mammalia; Scandentia; Tupaiidae.
UCUCUGGUGGUCUAGUGGCUAGGAUUCGGCGCUUUCACCGCCGCGGCCCGGGUUCGAUUCCCGGUCAGGGAA